Molecule: ribosomal RNA, 476 nt
Filed under: uncultured organism
Description: partial 16S ribosomal RNA
Rfam family: Bacterial small subunit ribosomal RNA
Source: RNAcentral
UACACUCCUACGGGAGGCAGCAGUGGGGAAUAUUGCACAAUGGGCGCAAGCCUGAUGCAGCCAUGCCGCGUGUAUGAAGAAGGCCUUCGGGUUGUAAAGUACUUUCAGCGGGGAGGAAGGCGAUAAGGUUAAUAACCUUGUUGAUUGACGUUACCCGCAGAAGAAGCACCGGCUAACUCCGUGCCAGCAGCCGCGGUAAUACGGAGGGUGCAAGCGUUAAUCGGAAUUACUGGGCGUAAAGCGCACGCAGGCGGUCUGUCAAGUCGGAUGUGAAAUCCCCGGGCUCAACCUGGGAACUGCAUUCGAAACUGGCAGGCUAGAGUCUUGUAGAGGGGGGUAGAAUUCCAGGUGUAGCGGUGAAAUGCGUAGAGAUCUGGAGGAAUACCGGUGGCGAAGGCGGCCCCCUGGACAAAGACUGACGCUCAGGUGCGAAAGCGUGGGGAGCAAACAGGAUUAGAAACCCUGGUAGUCCCAUG